RNAcentral lists this ribosomal RNA (112 nucleotides) under Caerostris darwini. The record is from RNAcentral. Lineage: Eukaryota; Metazoa; Arthropoda; Arachnida; Araneae; Araneidae.
AACGGCCGUACCAUGCUGAAUAUAUCGGUUCUCUUUAGAUCACCGAAGUUAAGCAUCAUAGGGCGCGGUCAGUACUUGGGUGGGUGACCACCUGGGAACACUGCGUGCCGUU